AGCGAACGCUGGCGGCGUGCCUAACACAUGCAAGUCGAACGUGAAAAGGGAAACCUGAGUACAGUGGCGUACGGGUGAGUAACGCGUAGGUAAUCUACCCCAGAAUCUGGAAUAACCUGCCGAAAGGCGGGCUAAUACUGGAUAGAGCGAGGGAACUCGUAAGAGAGUUUUUCGGGAAAGGGAGCCCGCAAGGGCCUUCGUUCUGGGAUGAGCCCGCGUCUCAUUAGCUAGUUGGUAAGGUAACGGCUUACCAAGGCGAUGAUGAGUAGCUGGUCUGAGAGGAUGAUCAGCCACACUGGAACUGAAACACGGUCCAGACUCCUACGGGAGGCAGCAGUGGGGAAUCUUGCGCAAUGGACGAAAGUCUGACGCAGCCACGCCGCGUGAGUGAAGAAGGCCUUCGGGUUGUAAAGCUCUGUCGGAUGGGACGAACAUCUUCAUAGUGAAUAGCUAUGAGGACUGACGGUACCAUCAAAGGAAGCACCGGCUAACUCCGUG
This 498-nucleotide ribosomal RNA is filed under the name uncultured bacterium. RNAcentral's name for it is "partial 16S ribosomal RNA". It matches the Rfam family "Bacterial small subunit ribosomal RNA", at positions 29 to 507 of the family's 1533-position model. The record is from RNAcentral.